UUGAACGCUGGCGGCAUGCUUUACACAUGCAAGUCGAACGGUAGCAGGCCUUCGGGUGCUGACGAGUGGCGAACGGGUGAGUAAUGCAUCGGAACGUGCCCAAUCGUGGGGGAUAACGUAGCGAAAGUUACGCUAAUACCGCAUACGCCCUGAGGGGGAAAGUGGGGGACCGCAAGGCCUCACGCGAAUGGAGCGGCCGAUGUCGGAUUAGCUAGUUGGUGGGGUAAAGGCCUACCAAGGCGACGAUCCGUAGCGGGUCUGAGAGGAUGAUCCGCCACACUGGGACUGAGACACGGCCCAGACUCCUACGGGAGGCAGCAGUGGGGAAUUUUGGACAAUGGGGGCAACCCUGAUCCAGCCAUGCCGCGUGAGUGAAGAAGGCCUUCGGGUUGUAAAGCUCUUUCAGACGGAAAGAAAACGCAUCGGUGAAUACCCGGUGUGGAUGACGGUACCGUAAGAAGAAGCACCGGCUAACUACGU
Molecule: ribosomal RNA, 480 nt
Filed under: uncultured bacterium
Lineage: Bacteria
Description: bacterial SSU rRNA
Rfam family: Bacterial small subunit ribosomal RNA
Source: RNAcentral